This 85-nucleotide transfer RNA is filed under the name Rikenellaceae bacterium. RNAcentral describes it as "tRNA-Leu". It matches the Rfam family "tRNA". From Rfam's summary of the family: Transfer RNA (tRNA) molecules are approximately 80 nucleotides in length. Their secondary structure includes four short double-helical elements and three loops (D, anti-codon, and T loops). Further hydrogen bonds mediate the characteristic L-shaped molecular structure. tRNAs have two regions of fundamental functional importance: the anti-codon, which is responsible for specific mRNA codon recognition, and the 3' end, to which the tRNAs corresponding amino acid is attached (by aminoacyl-tRNA synthetases). tRNAs cope with the degeneracy of the genetic code in two manners: having more than one tRNA (with a specific anti-codon) for a particular amino acid; and 'wobble' base-pairing, i.e. permitting non-standard base-pairing at the 3rd anti-codon position. The record is from RNAcentral. Lineage: Bacteria; Pseudomonadati; Bacteroidota; Bacteroidia; Bacteroidales; Rikenellaceae.
GCCUGGAUGGUGGAAUAGGUAGACACGCCGGACUUAAAAUCCUGUUCGCAUUGCGCGAGUGCGGGUUCGAUUCCCGCUCCAGGUA